CAGGGUGGGGCGUCGUGCUUUUGCUCUGCUUUGCUGCUUCUUCUUCUUUUCUUUUUUCUUUCUUUUUUUUUUUUUUAAUAGUGCUGGGGCUUGAACUCAAGGCCUUCACAUUCAGCUACAUCCCCAGCUCUUUUUUAUUUUGAGUCAGGGUUUCGCCUAAGUCACUGAGUUGCCCAGGCUGGGGUCUGACUUUUGGUCCUCCUGCCUCAGCCUCCCAGAGCGCUAGGAUUGCAGGCUUGCGCCACCUUUCCCAGCUUUCCUGAUAAUGCUGACAUCAAGGACACCAGUAGUGACAGGAAGUUCAAUGAACUCACCUAUUGCACAACUAUUAAACAAAGCUCACAGGCAGAUACGAAGCCUGGAGAGGCAAGGAUCAGUCCUCGCCUCAAGUGUGUGAACCCCACGCUGCCCCCACCUCCAGUUGGAGAAGGGUUUGACCAAGCAACAGGACGCUUGAUGAACUGCACAGGAAACAUUUGUAAACACAACUAUAAAAAUAAGGCAAAGGAAGGCAAACGAAGAUCGUCCCUCAGUAUCUGUUCUCUUUUCCCCGCCCAUCACCACAGCCACAUUAGAUCUUAUCUACACAGUCCUCAGAACAAAGGCUGCAUCUCCAAACCUCCUUCAUAAUAUUUAUGACCUUAGAAUUACACUCUGGCCAGUGGGAUGUAAACUCGAGUGAUGCAUGUGGAGAGGGACUGUCCUUCAAAUUCAUCCUUACUGCUGUCUGGAAUUUGGAUGUGAUGGCUUUGCUCCAGCAGCCAUCUUACACCAUGCAGUACAAGAUGUAUGGCUAAAGAUGGUGGAGUAGCAAGAUUCUGUGUAAAGGAGCCUGGUCUUUGAUAUCAAGGGCACUGUGUGAACCCUGCAUGGCCACUCUUGGUCUCUCUUAUGUAAAAGAGAAAUAUAUUUCUG
Molecule: long non-coding RNA, 915 nt
Filed under: Heterocephalus glaber (naked mole-rat)
Lineage: Eukaryota; Metazoa; Chordata; Mammalia; Rodentia; Bathyergidae
Description: lncRNA (ENSHGLG00000034353.1)
Source: RNAcentral